ACUCAAAUGAAUUGACGGGGGCCCGCACAAGCGGUGGAGCAUGUGCAUUAAUUCGUCACUAACCGAAGAACCUUACCAGGGUUUGACAUCCCACGACCGCCGGUGAAAGUCGGUUUUCCCCGCAAGGGGACGUGGAGACAGGUGUUGCAUGGUUGUCGUCAGCUCGUGUCGUGAGAUGUUGGGUUAAGUCCCGCAACGAGCGCAACCCUCACCCAAUGUUGGCAGCGUAAAGUCGGCAACUCUUUGGGAACUGCCCGUGUAAGCGGGAGGAAGGUGGGGAUGACGUCAAAUCGGCAUGGCCCUUACAUCCUGGGCUUGACACAUGCUACAAUGGACGGUAUACAGACCGAAGCGAGACCGCGAGGUGGAGCCAAUCGGAAAAAUCCGUUCUCAGUUCGGAUUGCAGGCUGCAACUCGCCUGCAUGAAGUCGGAAUCGCUAGUAACCGCAGGUCAGCUAAACUGCGGUGAAUACGUUCCCGGGCCUUGUACACACCGCCCGU
Molecule: ribosomal RNA, 501 nt
Filed under: uncultured bacterium
Lineage: Bacteria
Description: partial 16S ribosomal RNA
Rfam family: Bacterial small subunit ribosomal RNA
Source: RNAcentral